GGGGCUUGCUCUCGGGGGGAANUGUUCAUAUGCGNAGUAAGGCAGGGAAAAAUUACCCCGCGGUCAGGGAUAGCCAUUCUAACGAAUGGGUAAUACUUGAUGGUCCGGCGACGGGACAUCCCGAUGCCGGUAAAGACUUAUCGCCGUGGGAGGGGCCCAUGUAGUAUUAGCUUGUUGGCGGGGUAACGGCCCACCAAGGCUGAGAUGCUUAGCGGGUGUGAGAGCACGACCCGCGCCACUGGCUCUGCGACACUGGCCAGACUCCUACGGGAGGCAGCAGU
This 281-nucleotide ribosomal RNA is filed under the name uncultured Planctomycetaceae bacterium. RNAcentral's name for it is "partial 16S ribosomal RNA". It matches the Rfam family "Bacterial small subunit ribosomal RNA", at positions 75 to 355 of the family's 1533-position model. The record is from RNAcentral. Lineage: Bacteria; Pseudomonadati; Planctomycetota; Planctomycetia; Planctomycetales; Planctomycetaceae.